Molecule: ribosomal RNA, 254 nt
Filed under: uncultured bacterium
Lineage: Bacteria
Description: partial 16S ribosomal RNA
Rfam family: Bacterial small subunit ribosomal RNA
Source: RNAcentral
CACGUAGGGUGCGAGCGUUGUCCGGAAUUAUUGGGCGUAAAGAGCUCGUAGGCGGUGUGUCGCGUCGGCCGUGAAAACCUGCAGCUUAACUGUGGGCGUGCGGUCGAUACGGGCAUCACUGGAGUUCGGCAGGGGAGACUGGAAUUCCUGGUGUAGCGGUGAAAUGCGCAGAUAUCAGGAGGAACACCGGUGGCGAAGGCGGAUCUCUGGGCCUUACCUGACGCUCAGGCGCGAAAGCUAGGGGAGCGAACAGG